UCAGGAUGAACGCUAGCUACAGGCUUAACACAUGCAAGUCGAGGGCAGCAUUAUCGAAGCUUGCUUUGAUAGAUGGCGACCGGCGCACGGGUGAGUAACGCGUAUCCAACCUUCCCCUUAGUAGGGCAUAGCCCGUAGAAAUGCGGAUUAAUACCCUAUGUUGUAUUAUGAGGACAUCUGAAAGAUACCAAAGGUUUACCGCUAAGGGAUGGGGAUGCGUCUGAUUAGGUUGUUGGCGGGGUAACGGCCCACCAAGCCAUCGAUCAGUAGGGGUUCUGAGAGGAAGGUCCCCCACAUUGGAACUGAGACACGGUCCAAACUCCUACGGGAGGCAGCAGUGAGGAAUAUUGGUCAAUGGGCGAGAGCCUGAACCAGCCAAGUAGCCGUGCAGGAUGACGGCCCUAUGGGUUGUAAACUGCUUUUAUGCGGGGAUAAAGUGAGGGACGUGUCCCUUUUUGUAGGUACCGCAUGAAUAAGGACCGGCUAAUUCCGUGCCAGCCGCAGC
This 505-nucleotide ribosomal RNA is filed under the name uncultured bacterium. RNAcentral describes it as "bacterial SSU rRNA". It matches the Rfam family "Bacterial small subunit ribosomal RNA", at positions 24 to 518 of the family's 1533-position model. The record is from RNAcentral.